CUUGCACCGGGUGGCGAGUGGCGGACGGGUGAGUAACACGUAGGAAUCUGCCUGGUAGUGGGGGAUAACCCGGGGAAACUCGGGCUAAUACCGCAUACGCUCUACGGAGGAAAGCGGGGGAUCGCAAGACCUCGCGCUAUCAGAUGAGCCUGCGUCGAUUAGCUAGUUGGUGGGGUAAAGUGCCACCAAGGCGACGAUCGGUAGCUGGUCUGAGAGGACGAUCAGCCACACUGGAACUGAGACACGGUCCAGACUCCUACGGGAGGCAGCAGUGGGGAAUAUUGGACAAUGGGCGCAAGCCUGAUCCAGCAAUGCCGCGUGUGUGAAGAAGGCCUGCGGGUUGUAAAGCACUUUAAGCAGGAAAGAAGGCGCUCAAGGCUAAUAUCCUUGAGGAUUGACGUUACCUGCAGAAUAAGCACCGGCUAACUCCGUGCCAGCAGCCGCGGUAAUACGGAGGGUGCGAGCGUUAAUCGGAAUUACUGGGCGUAAAGCGCGCGUAGGCGGUUUGCUAAGUCCGCUGUGAAAGCCCCGGGCUUAACCUGGGAACUGCAGUGGAUACUGGUUGGCUAGAGUAUGGUAGAGGGUAGUGGAAUUUCCGGUGUAGCAGUGAAAUGCGUAGAGAUCGGAAGGAACACCAGUGGCGAAGGCGGCUAUCUGGACCAAUACUGACGCUGAGGUGCGAAAGCGUGGGGAGCAAACAGGAUUAGAUACCCUGGUAGUCCACGCCCUAAACGAUGAGAACUAGCCGUUGGGUCCGGUUUACGGAUUUAGUGGCGCAGCUAACGCGUUAAGUUCUCCGCCUGGGGAGUACGGCCGCAAGGUUAAAACUCAAAUGAAUUGACGGGGGCCCGCACAAGCAGCGGAGCAUGCGGCUUAAUUCGACGCAACGCGAAGAACCUUACCAAGGCUUGACAUAUAGCGAAAAGUGACAAGAGAUGUCAUUGUCCCGCAAGGGCCGCUAUACAGGUGGUGCAUGGUUGUCGUCAGCUCGUGUCGUGAGAUGUUGGGUUAAGUCCCGCAACGAGCGCAACCCUCGUUCUGUGUUGCCAGCAUUUAGUUGGGGACUCACAGAAGACUGCCGGGGUCACUCGGAGGAAGGUGGGGAUGACGUCAAAUCAUCAUGCCCCUUAUGUCUUGGGCUGCACGCAUGCUACAUGGCCGGUACAAGGGCUGCAAACCGUAAGGUGGAGCGAAUCCCAAAAGCCGGUCUCAGUUCGGAUUGGGGUCUGCAACUCGACCCCAUGAAGUU
RNAcentral lists this ribosomal RNA (1249 nucleotides) under uncultured Methylocaldum sp. RNAcentral describes it as "bacterial SSU rRNA". It matches the Rfam family "Bacterial small subunit ribosomal RNA", at positions 79 to 1327 of the family's 1533-position model. Lineage: Bacteria; Pseudomonadati; Pseudomonadota; Gammaproteobacteria; Methylococcales; Methylococcaceae. The record is from RNAcentral.